CAAAUACUCCCUCCGUCCCGAAUUACUUGUCUUAGAUUUGUCUAUAUACGGAUGAUCUGUAUCUAGACAAGUUUUAGUGCUAGAUACAUCCGUAUCUAGACAAAUCUAAGACAAGUAAUUUGAGACGGAGGUAAUAUAUA
This is a non-coding RNA of Triticum aestivum (bread wheat), 140 nucleotides long. The record is from Rfam. Lineage: Eukaryota; Viridiplantae; Streptophyta; Magnoliopsida; Poales; Poaceae.